This is a long non-coding RNA of Ailuropoda melanoleuca (giant panda), 2302 nucleotides long. RefSeq lists it as uncharacterized. The transcript is spliced from 3 exons. The record is from RefSeq and is a predicted model, not a curated record. Lineage: Eukaryota; Metazoa; Chordata; Mammalia; Carnivora; Ursidae.
UUCCCGUCUGCGCCCCGCUGGGUCCCGCGGCUACCCGAGAGGCAGGCGGGAGACUCCCGGAGCGACCAAUAGGAGGGCCUCAAGUGGACCGGUCCGCCCGCAGGGGAGAGAGGGAGACUUCCGGGUGGGCUCUCCCUGCAAAACUCUGGGAGCCAAAGUCCAACCUCCCCUUCCCAAGGAGCAAAUGGAUUGGUCCCAGGCAAGCCGGUGGGCGGUAGCGAUACUUUUCAGAUUGUCCACAGAACGCUAGGUGUCGGGCGGCCGCGUGGCCUAAUGGAUAAGGCGUCUGACUUCGGAUCAGAAGAUUGCAGGUUCGAGUCCUGCCGCGGUCGUAAGAGCUAAAUUUCACCGAAGUAAAGUUCCCUGAGAGGAGACAAGGCUAUACAGAAGAUUCUUAAUUUGCAAAGUGCUCUGCAGUUUUCAGUUUGCAAACCCCUGUGAUUCCAUCUUAGUUCCACCACUAUUUAUGAUACUGGAGGUAUCUGUGACACAGGGGAACAGAGAAGAGGAUGGGAAUGGAGGCCAAGUUCCAGCAGACAAGAUCUAGCGGACACGCCCGGUCCAUCAUAUUUGCACCUAUGACAUGUGUCAUCUUCUGCCUGGCCCAGGACCUGGGAGUAUGCACAUGGCUCCAGCAUCGAGGGAAGGGGCUGGUUCUUCAUCACCUUGGACCUCCUGAGCCAGGCACAGAGUCUGAGGAGAAUGAGUACUCCAUUGAUGUUUCAGGCCAAGUUUUCCACCCAUUUCUGUGGGUUCCCAGGGAUUAGGAUCCAGAACAGGGGCCGCCAGGCUCCCCUUAAAAACUGCCAGCAAGCCGCCACCACCUCCUUACUCCUACUCCCAGGAAUCAAGAGGUCAAGGGGAGGAGCUGCUGAGCACCAGGGCCUGGGACAGGAACCCCCUCAGCUCAGGGACCAGCAGCACCUUGGAAAGCAGAGGGCAUGGGCUGGCAGGAGGUCAGGCCCGGACCAGGCAGAGGGAGGAAGCUGGAAACCCUGCUGGUGAAGCCUGGUGGCUCCAGACAAGGGGUAUGCCCAGUGGGGGGGGGGUGCGUGGCCACAACAUAUUACUACAGGAGUCCACGGGAAGAGAAGACAGGGUCAGCUCUCCCUCUUUAGGUUUUCAGAGAGGUUCCAUGGCCCCCAGAAGGAAGCAAAGGCCACUGAAGUGUGACUAGUGUCUGAGAGGCAGGGACCCAAGGAGGACUAUGUCCCUGUGUCAGAGAGAACAUCAUGGCUUCCCUGACCUGCCAGCAUGGGGCUCCUCGCCCUUCAACUAUAUGUUGGUGGAAUUUGGCCGUUCUGGUUCAUCCUCACUCAGGGCCUCAUCAUGAGUGGGUCAGCAUGUGUUGGGUCCCCUCAGUAACCCAUACCUGGCAGAGGGCAGACCCUGCCCACCCAGUCAAGGUUCUCUAGCCUUCUACCAGUCCUGGGUCUGAUGGGCUAUGAAGAGACCAAGGGACAGAGAAUCUAAGAUCCAGCGGGUGGGGGCAGAAAGGGGAGGGAGGGCCUUGUGGCAGCUGCUGACGCACUCCAGUUCUGGUCAGGAAUGGCAGAGGGCUCCCAGGGCCUUCCCCAGGGUGGGGGGGCGGAGAAGCAGACUCCCCGCUCAGCAGGGAGCCCGAUGAUGAUGUGGGGCUUGAUCCCAGGACCCUGGGAUCAUGACCUGAGCCGAAGGCAGAUGCUUAACCGACUGAGCCACCCAGGUGCCCUAGGGAUUUUUUUUAAACAGUAGCUAGAAGAGGGGGUCAGGUCUUAAGUCCGGGUGAAUGUACAAUUAAAGCUGCCCUAGCCGUGCAUCUGUGGUGUGGAGAAAGCUGGUCUGAUCUGCAGAAAGGAAAGAGAAGGGCCGGACAAGACCCCAGUGACAUCAGGUUCCUGAUGUCCCUUCUCCUGCUGCAGUUUGACAAUAGGAGCCAAUAAAUUCCCCCUUUGUCUGCCAAAACUGGUCUGAAUCAGGUUUCUGGUGCUUGUAGCCAAAAGAAUUCUAAGUGAUUGGCCUUCCCCUCUGUAAAUGAAAGGGGUUAAUGGGCUGGGUCUGUGGGGGUGCCAAAGCCCUUGCACCACCACCACCACCCCCCUGGGCCCUGGAGUGAGCUGGAAUCUGGCCUGACUGUGAAGGCAUUGGGACCUUGAUAUAGACCAUUCCUCUCAAUGUCAGGCAGACUAGCUCAGCCUUGGAACACUGCAGCCAGGAGGUUGGGCCAAAUGAGGGUAAGGCACUUGGCUACCUUCUCCGGCCCUAUCCUGACAUUACCUGCCCUGCGGCUGGGCCAGCCAGCUCAGGGGAAGUAGGCACACAA